Molecule: non-coding RNA, 638 nt
Organism: Punica granatum (pomegranate)
Lineage: Eukaryota; Viridiplantae; Streptophyta; Magnoliopsida; Myrtales; Lythraceae
Source: RefSeq, a predicted model, not a curated record
CUCAGCAGCUUUUGCCUUUUCCCACCGCCAUUGACUGCUGAACCCCCUCCUUCCCUUUAUAUUCCUUUAUGCUUUCUACUGGAAAGAAAAUUCAUAGGAGAAAUAGAGAAGAACAGAAAUAGAGAGAGAGCAUGCGUGAGAAAGAGAAGGGGAGAAGGGAGUGAAUGAGCUUUGGGUUUAGCUUGCCAGGAAGGAUAUACAGGGUUGCCAUUAGUUGGGGGCUGAAGAGACUGAGACUAUACCUCUGGAAGGCUCGACUCAUUAAAUUAUCAUUUUCAGGAGUCUUUAUGAGCUAGAAGCUAGACUAGCCGCACAGGAGGACUUUUGGAUAACGGGGAUCAGCGCGAAGGAUUUUUGGCAAGUAGGCCCACUCAUAGUAUAGGUAGUAAGUUUUCGUAAAUGUUACAAUCAUGUUACGACCUAAAACUUUUGUUUAGUUAGUUUAGUGGUAUGAUUGCAGUAGAAUACUCUCUUGAGAGUUAUAUAUGUACAUUAGAAUCUGUUAGAUUGGUUUUAUGUUUAUGUAGAGCCUGCCGAGUUGGUUUAAAGGUUUGGUGUGUUAUAGAAGCAUAUUAUAUACAUAUGAAACGUGUGUAUGACAAUGGAUAACGAGGAAAUAUAGGGAAACUCUUUUAAAA